This 609-nucleotide ribosomal RNA is filed under the name uncultured bacterium. RNAcentral describes it as "bacterial SSU rRNA". It matches the Rfam family "Bacterial small subunit ribosomal RNA", at positions 93 to 740 of the family's 1533-position model. The record is from RNAcentral.
UAGUGGCGCACGGGUGCGUAACGCGUGGGAAUCUGCCCUUGGGUUCGGGAUAACAGUUGGAAACGACUGCUAAUACCGGAUGAUGUCGGACCAAAGAUUUAUCGCCCAGGGAUGAGCCCGCGUCGGAUUAGCUAGUUGGUGGGGUAAAAGCCUACCAAGGCGACGAUCCGUAGCUGGUCUGAGAGGAUGAUCAGCCACACUGGGACUGAGACACGGCCCAGACUCCUACGGGAGGCAGCAGUGGGGAAUAUUGGACAAUGGGCGAAAGCCUGAUCCAGCAAUGCCGCGUGAGUGAUGAAGGCCUUAGGGUUGUAAAGCUCUUUUACCCGGGAUGAUAAUGACAGUACCGGGAGAAUAAGCCCCGGCUAACUCCGUGCCAGCAGCCGCGGUAAUACGGAGGGGGCUAGCGUUGUUCGGAAUUACUGGGCGUAAAGCGUACGUAGGCGGCUUUGUAAGUUAGAGGUGAAAGCCCGGGGCUUAACCCCGGAAUUGCCUUUAAGACUGCAUCGCUUGAAUCAUGGAGAGGUGAGUGGAAUUCCGAGUGUAGAGGUGAAAUUCGUAGAUAUUCGGAAGAACACCAGUGGCGAAGGCGACUCACUGGACAUGUAU